RNAcentral lists this unclassified non-coding RNA (378 nucleotides) under uncultured bacterium. RNAcentral describes it as "contains 16S-23S intergenic spacer region". The record is from RNAcentral.
UCCGAGUUGACCCCGGCAGUCUCCCAUGAGUCCCCGCCAUAACGCGCUGGCAACAUGGAACGAGGGUUGCGCUCGUUGCGGGACUUAACCCAACAUCUCACGACACGAGCUGACGACAACCAUGCACCACCUGUCCACCGACCCCGAAGGGAAACCCCAUCUCUGAGGCGGUCCGGUGAAUGUCAAGCCUUGGUAAGGUUCUUCGCGUUGCGUCGAAUUAAGCAACAUGCUCCGCCGCUUGUGCGGGCCCCCGUCAAUUCCUUUGAGUUUUAGUCUUGCGACCGUACUUCCCAGGCGGAGAACUUAAUGCGUUAGCUACGGCACCGCGGGGGUCAACACCCACGGCACCUAGUUCUCAUCGUUUACGGCGUGGACUAC